UAAAUUCAUAAUUUCUUUUACAUUACAAAUCCAUCAGAUGUAAGAUUAAGUUGUAAAAGGAUUGAUCAGGAAUUAUUAACAAGCCCAGCUGUCUGGAGUCAGAACUUGUGAAGACAAUUACCACAUCUAUCUGCAACCAAAGUGAAAUACUCACACACUAAAUCAUGACUGCGUGUCUAAGAUAAGUUAUUAAUUUACCGCAGCCUAGCUCUACUGAACAGAUGUACUUUGAUGUCAUCAUUCCUUAGAUCUUAUUGGACACUGACAGUAAGAAUUAGGCUACCGAUGUUAGACGACAUUGGACUGUAUUGACACCAUUAUUGCUGUAUCCUGCGCACUAACAAACCAGGUUUCCAACAAGAAGACAUUAACAUAUCAGACACAGAUAUAAGACUCUCCAAAACUCCUGUAGGAUCCAAUGUAAGUAUUGCAUCAGGUCUAAAGGGGAAUUCUGCUCGGAGGAACAAGAGCUGCAAUGUGAAAUUGUAUAUCUGGAAGCAGCAACAGCAGAGACGCAUAUGAGUGCGCACCGAUUUGUACCCUCUGGGGUGCGGACAACAAAUGAGGAAACCCGGUCAGAUAUGUCCGGGAAAGAGAUGGCCAGACAUAAGUUCCACAGAGGUUUUUUUUCUCACAAGACGGGGAUUCAUUCAGCACUUGCCUUCUACUACUUCUCUGCUCGUCUCAGGGUCCCCAAGAACUGAUCGUGGGACCGGUGCGUUUGACGCACAUCUUUUCCCGGGAAGAUGCUACCCUGUCUAUAACGGGGGUCAGCUGUUGCGGGCCCAAUCUGAAAGUGACCUGUUGGCUGGGCCAGAGGCUGCAACACAGGACAUGGGUCCUGCUUCCCCUUCCCGCUCGUGUCUUGUGUUGCAGCCAGUGGAGUAGCCUGUCUGCUGGUCUGUCUGCUCAUCGCUGGUGGACUGAGCUCCAGAAUCAACGGCGUAGGUUUCCUUUCAGCACUGCUUCAAAAUAAAUGCCCUCUGCUACUUUUUAUGUUUUUAGGGGGAACAAUGCAAUGCACACGUUCUAAAUAUUAUUAUGAUUACUAAAUACUAAGUAUGUAUACUGUCCAUGUAUGUAUGUACUGUAUGUGUGCUCCUUGCUUUGCAGCUAACUUGUACCUUGUCAAGUGUAGUUUUCAUAUUCCACAUAUUGUCCUCUCUCACAGUUUAAAUAAUAAAUGAUUUAGUUCAGAGAAAAA
Molecule: long non-coding RNA, 1204 nt
Organism: Etheostoma cragini (Arkansas darter)
Lineage: Eukaryota; Metazoa; Chordata; Actinopteri; Perciformes; Percidae
Exons: 2
Source: RefSeq, a predicted model, not a curated record